RNAcentral lists this ribosomal RNA (565 nucleotides) under uncultured bacterium. RNAcentral's name for it is "partial 16S ribosomal RNA". It matches the Rfam family "Bacterial small subunit ribosomal RNA", at positions 355 to 914 of the family's 1533-position model. The record is from RNAcentral.
UGGGGAAUUUUGGACAAUGGGCGAAAGCCUGAUCCAGCAAUGCCGCGUGUGUGAAGAAGGCCUUCGGGUUGUAAAGCACUUUUGUCCGGAAAGAAAUCCUUGGCUCUAAUACAGUCGGGGGAUGACGGUACCGGAAGAAUAAGCACCGGCUAACUACGUGCCAGCAGCCGCGGUAAUACGUAGGGUGCAAGCGUUAAUCGGAAUUACUGGGCGUAAAGCGUGCGCAGGCGGUUUGCUAAGACCGAUGUGAAAUCCCCGGGCUCAACCUGGGAACUGCAUUGGUGACUGGCAGGCUAGAGUAUGGCAGAGGGGGGUAGAAUUCCACGUGUAGCAGUGAAAUGCGUAGAGAUGUGGAGGAAUACCGAUGGCGAAGGCAGCCCCCUGGCCAAUACUGACGCUCAUGCACGAAAGCGUGGGGAGCAAACAGGAUUAGAUACCCUGGUAGUCCACGCCCUAAACGAUGUCAACUAGUUGUUGGGGAUUCAUUUCCUUAGUAACGUAGCUAACGCGUGAAGUUGACCGCCUGGGGAGUACGGUCGCAAGAUUAAAACUCAAAGGAAUUGAC